AGUGAACGCUGGCGGUAGGCCUAACACAUGCAAGUCGAACGGCAGCACAGUAAGAGCUUGCUCUUACGGGUGGCGAGUGGCGGACGGGUGAGGAAUACAUCGGAAUCUACUUUUUCGUGGGGGAUAACGUAGGGAAACUUACGCUAAUACCGCAUACGACCUGCGGGUGAACGCAGGGGAUCUUCGGACCUUGCGCGAUUGAAUGAGCCGAUGUCGGAUUAGCUAGUUGGCGGGGUAAAGGCCCACCAAGGCGACGAUCCGUAGCUGGUCUGAGAGGAGGAUCGGCCACACGGGAACUGAGACACGGUCCAGACUCCUACGGGAGGCAGCAGUGGGGAAUAUGGGACAAUGGGCGCAAGCCUGAUCCAGCCAGAGCGCGUGGGUGAAGGAGGCGUUCGGGUUGUAAAGCCCUUUUGUGGGGAAAGAAAAGCAGCAGGUUAAGACCCCGCUGUUCUGACGGUACCCAAAGAAUAAGCACCGGCUAACUUCGUG
RNAcentral lists this ribosomal RNA (492 nucleotides) under uncultured bacterium. RNAcentral's name for it is "partial 16S ribosomal RNA". It matches the Rfam family "Bacterial small subunit ribosomal RNA", at positions 29 to 507 of the family's 1533-position model. The record is from RNAcentral.